CCUUCCCUGGUUUCCUGGCUGACGGUUUUUUUAUUUUAAUGCCACCGUCUGUGUGAGCUGAUCCUAUGGCGGUUUUGAUUUUUCUUUUGUAUUUUCUGAACAACUCCCUGUCUCUUGCUCUUGAAAACGUGAUUUGCGAAAUCUUUUUAGAAGACGGUGUGUUGCUUUGGAGCAAAAAGUCUCUGAUCAUAGACGCCCCUUUGAUUUUUC
RNAcentral lists this long non-coding RNA (210 nucleotides) under Prunus persica (peach). Its description in RNAcentral is "long non-coding RNA (PPER_LNC000212)". The record is from RNAcentral. Lineage: Eukaryota; Viridiplantae; Streptophyta; Magnoliopsida; Rosales; Rosaceae.